GACGAACGCUGGCGGCGUGCUUAACACAUGCAAGUCGAACGGAAAGGCCUGCAGCUUGCUGCGGGUACUCGAGUGGCGAACGGGUGAGUAACACGUGGGUGAUCUGCCUUGCACUUCGGGAUAAGCUUGGGAAACUGGGUCUAAUACCGGAUAGGACAGCUGUUUAGUGUCAGUUGUGGAAAGUUUUUUCGGUGCAAGAUGAGCUCGCGGCCUAUCAGCUUGUUGGUGGGGUAAUGGCCUACCAAGGCGUCGACGGGUAGCCGGCCUGAGAGGGUGUACGGACACAUUGGGACUGAGAUACGGCCCAGACUCCUACGGGAGGCAGCAGUGGGGAAUAUUGCACAAUGGGCGGAAGCCUGAUGCAGCGACGCCGCGUGGGGGAUGAAGGCCUUCGGGUUGUAAACUCCUUUCGACAGGGACGAAGCUUUUGUGACGGUACCUGUAGAAGAAGCACCGGCUAACUACGUG
Molecule: ribosomal RNA, 468 nt
Filed under: uncultured bacterium
Lineage: Bacteria
Description: partial 16S ribosomal RNA
Rfam family: Bacterial small subunit ribosomal RNA
Source: RNAcentral